This 257-nucleotide ribosomal RNA is filed under the name uncultured bacterium. RNAcentral's name for it is "partial 16S ribosomal RNA". It matches the Rfam family "Bacterial small subunit ribosomal RNA", at positions 15 to 266 of the family's 1533-position model. The record is from RNAcentral.
GAUCUGGCUCAGGACGAACGCUGGCGGCGUGCCUAACACAUGCAAGUCGAACGAGGGUUUGGAAAGCUUGCUUUCCGAAACCUAGUGGCGGACGGGUGAGUAACGCGUGAGUAACCUGCCUUUCAGAGGGGAAUAACGUUCUGAAAAGAACGCUAAUACCGCAUAACGUACAGUUACCGCAUGGUAGCAGUACCAAAGGAGCAAUCCGCUGAAAGAUGGACUCGCGUCCGAUUAGCUAGUUGGUGGGGUAAAGGCCU